Molecule: transfer-messenger RNA, 345 nt
Filed under: Suipraeoptans intestinalis
Lineage: Bacteria; Bacillati; Bacillota; Clostridia; Lachnospirales; Lachnospiraceae
Rfam family: transfer-messenger RNA
About the family: Bacterial tmRNA, also known as 10Sa RNA or SsrA, is named for its dual tRNA and mRNA-like properties. Its role is to liberate the mRNA from a stalled ribosome. To accomplish this part of the tmRNA is used as a reading frame that ends in a translation stop signal.
Source: RNAcentral
GGGCUUGUAAUGGUUUCGACGGGGAUCAGGAAGUCGAGGAAGCCAUCCGUAGCGGGACACUACGUUAAAAGUUCCAUCUAAAUAUAAACGCAGAUAAUAAAUUAGCGUACGCUGCCUAACAGGCAGUAGUCGGUCCAGAGUCAUCCGCUGCUUUGGGUACCGGCUUCAACGAGGCGGAGCACUUCGUUUCCAAAGCUUUGAGGAAAUGGAAGAUCUUAUGAAGCUACUGAAACCGGAAACCUGUCAUUAGGUGUCCGGCAGAGGGAACGUCAGAUUAAUGACUGUGAUGGGAGAUGCUUUGAUGAAAUGAUGUUCGGACGCGGGUUCGACUCCCGCCAGGUCCAU